ACCGGGAAAGAUGAAAAUCAAGCAUUAAUAUUACGGAAUUAAUAAUACAAAAUUAGGUCCGAUUUACAUGAUUGGUGAGCAAGAUCAUGUUAAAAUUGAGAUGGAAAGAUGACUGAAUCAUAUUUCCAAAGAAAUAAAACAGAUGAAUAUUUGUUUCCUCAGGUUAAUUUAGAGGGAUUUACCUUGCGAUAUACUAAGGGUAUGCUUCAAUGAUAGACUGCACAAUAUUGCGAAUAGGUUUUAUGGUAUAUCGACUAAAACCAGCAUUGAGAAGGACGUAGUCCCAUUCCUUGAAGGUCCUUUCUUUGCCUGUAGUAGUAUGUGCCAUCAUAACCAUGUCUACCAUCAACUUCACAUCCUUGAGCUUCUGAUCAUCACCUUGAGGAUCACCAUCUUCAAUCACGGCUUCUACAAUUACCACCUUCCCUUUGUCCUCCGGAAUGGCUUCUCUGCAUUUUUCUAGGAUCUUGAUGCACUUUUCAUCUCCCCAAUCAUGUAGGACCUUCUACAAUUGAGAAAAAGAAAACCGAUUUAAUUCAAUUAGUAGAUGACUAAGAUGAUGUUUAUUUUUUGGGUGAAUAGAAAAAACCAAAAUAUUUGACUUUUUCCAUUAAGUUAAAAGUACCUUGUUGCNNNNNNNNNNNNNNNNNNNNNNNNNNNNNNNNNNNNNNNNNNNNNNNNNNNNNNNNNNNNNNNNNNNNNNNNNNNNNNNNNNNNNNNNNNNNNNNNNNNNAAACAAAAAACUUAAAAAUUAAUACAAUUAAAACCAAAAACUAAAAAAAUUUAAAAAUAGAAUUUUGACUCCAUUGAAUUUCCAACUCUUUCUCAAUAUCUAUAUUUUUAGUUUUAAUUAUAAUUAUAAUUAUUAAAAAUUCCUAUUUUAUUAAUUUCAAAUUAAUUCUUACUGUAUUUUUUUUAAAAUAGUGUUAUUAAUGUAUCAAAUAAAAGGAUUAUUUUAGAAAAUAAUUAUUUAACUUUUGAAAAAGUGCAUUUAUUUUUCAAAUAUUUUUAAGAUUAUUUUUUCUAUAUUUUUUAAAAUUAGUGAAUCAAAACCUUUUUUUUUUUUUUUUGUAAAAUUAGUGAGUCAAAACUCACUUUUUCCAAAACAAUAUAUUUUCAAAACAAAUUUUAACAAAGUGUUUUAUCAUUUUUUUGAAUUAGAAAAUUUUCUAUAUUUAUAGAAAAUUUACAAACCUAUUUUUUGAAUUAAAAAUCUGUUUUUCAUUUUAAAGAACAAAAAAAAUAUUUAAAACUAGUUUGAAAUUGGACCAAAUAUUACGAUCCCAUCAUUGCCCAUAUGACAUUUAUUUUUAAAAUUAAAAUCCGACAUUCAAAUAUUUGAUCUAAAUACAAAAAUUUAAAAAAAAAGUUUAAAUCUUAUCCAAAAUAAAUAGUAAUUUUGUCCCCAUUUCAAAUAAUUUUUAUCACAAAUUAAUUAAGUUGUAUUUAGAUUAGAGAACCAGACCCAAAAAAUCUGCCACGUGGCACCUACCAGUUAUGCAACAAGAUGAAUCAGGCAACGCACAUCCUUGGUUCCUCCAUUUAUUUUUUUCCAGAAAAACAACAGAAACUAGAUUAAAGCUUGAGCUUCCACCCUGAACCGCAGCUCAAGCCAAGGGCCCACUUCAAUCACAGACCGCAGAAAUGGUCCCUUAACAUACUCCCACUCCUUUAAGGUCCUUCCUUUGCCAGUAGCGUGAGUUUUGACUUGUAGUCGAUGUGGGACUUGUUUUAUAUCUGACAAGGCACUGUUCUUAAGGCGCGUUUGUCUUUCUUUUGAUUUUAUUUUCUUGCCUAAGAUUGGGUGGACCGGGAAAGAUGAAAAUCAAGCAUUAAUAUUAGGGAAUUAAUAAUACAAAAUUAGGUCCGAUUUACAUGAUUGGUGAGCGAGAUGAUGUUAAAAUUGAGAUGGAAAGAUGACUGAAUCAUAUUUCCAAAGAAAUAAAACAGAUGAAUAUUUGUUUCCUCAGGUUAAUUUAGAGGGAUUUACCUUGCGAUAUACUAAGGGUAUGCUUCAAUGAUAGACUGCACAAUAUUGCGAAUAGGUUUUAUGGUAUAUCGACUAAAACCAGCAUUGAGAAGGACGUAGUCCCAUUCCUUGAAGGUCCUUUCUUUGCCUGUAGUAGUAUGUGCCAUCAUAACCAUGUCUACCAUCAACUUCACAUCCUUGAGCUUCUGAUCAUCACCUUGAGGAUCACCAUCUUCAAUCACGGCUUCUACAAUU
RNAcentral lists this long non-coding RNA (2224 nucleotides) under Vitis vinifera (wine grape). Its description in RNAcentral is "long non-coding RNA (VVIN_LNC000630)". Lineage: Eukaryota; Viridiplantae; Streptophyta; Magnoliopsida; Vitales; Vitaceae. The record is from RNAcentral.